This 434-nucleotide ribosomal RNA is filed under the name Mantis religiosa (praying mantis). Its description in RNAcentral is "partial 12S ribosomal RNA". Lineage: Eukaryota; Metazoa; Arthropoda; Insecta; Mantodea; Mantidae. The record is from RNAcentral.
UACUAUGUUACGACUUAUCUCAUCUUUAGUAAGAAUAAGUAAUGAGAGCGACGGGCGAUGUGUGCAUAUUAUAGAGCUAUAAAUCAUUUCAAUAAUCUUUAUAAAAUUACAAUUAAAUCCACCUUCAAAUUAUUUUUUCAAUAACAAUCCAUAUAAAUACAAUUUAUUGUAAUCCAUUAUUCAACUUAUAUAUUACUGCACCUUGACUUGAAAUCUUAAUUAAUAUUAUAUUCAGAAAAUUACCUAAAAGUAUAUUCAUAAACAGCGGUAUACAAGAAAUAAUAUAAGUAAGGUUCAACGUGGACUAUCGAUUACAUAACAGAUUCCUCUAAAUAGACUAUAAUACCGCCAAAUUCUUUAAGUUUCAAGACCAUACCUACUAAUACUCUAGUUUAUUAACUUUACAUAAAAUAUAGGGUAUCUAAUCCUAGUUU